UACUUGAGAAUGUUCAGAAGUUAAUUAUGGC
Molecule: non-coding RNA, 31 nt
Filed under: Mus musculus (house mouse)
Lineage: Eukaryota; Metazoa; Chordata; Mammalia; Rodentia; Muridae
Source: RNAcentral